RNAcentral lists this ribosomal RNA (420 nucleotides) under Bacillus sp. R-32526. RNAcentral describes it as "bacterial SSU rRNA". It matches the Rfam family "Bacterial small subunit ribosomal RNA", at positions 11 to 433 of the family's 1533-position model. Lineage: Bacteria; Bacillati; Bacillota; Bacilli; Caryophanales; Bacillaceae. The record is from RNAcentral.
GUUUGAUCCUGGCUCAGGACGAACGCUGGCGGCGUGCCUAAUACAUGCAAGUCGAGCGAACCACUUCGGUGGUUAGCGGCGGACGGGUGAGUAACACGUGGGCAACCUGCCUGUAAGACUGGGAUAACUUCGGGAAACCGGAGCUAAUACCGGAUAAUCCUUUUCCUCUCAUGAGGAAAAGCUGAAAGWCGGUUUCGGCUGUCACUUACAGAUGGGCCCGCGGCGCAUUAGCUAGUUGGUGAGGUAACGGCUCACCAAGGCGACGAUGCGUAGCCGACCUGAGAGGGUGAUCGGCCACACUGGGACUGAGACACGGCCCAGACUCCUACGGGAGGCAGCAGUAGGGAAUCUUCCACAAUGGACGAAAGUCUGAUGGAGCAACGCCGCGUGAGCGAUGAAGGCCUUCGGGUCGUAAAGCUC